AAUGGGCGUUCCGCACAACGGGAGACCAUGAACCUGGUCAGGGGUUUGCGCCAGCAGCCAUAAGUGUCCUCUUUCGUGUGUGUUGGAACUCCCAUUGGC
This 99-nucleotide signal recognition particle RNA is filed under the name Planctomycetia bacterium. RNAcentral describes it as "signal recognition particle sRNA small type". It matches the Rfam family "Bacterial small signal recognition particle RNA". Rfam says of the family: The signal recognition particle (SRP) is a universally conserved ribonucleoprotein involved in the co-translational targeting of proteins to membranes. Lineage: Bacteria; Pseudomonadati; Planctomycetota; Planctomycetia. The record is from RNAcentral.